RNAcentral lists this ribosomal RNA (761 nucleotides) under uncultured cyanobacterium. RNAcentral's name for it is "bacterial SSU rRNA". It matches the Rfam family "Bacterial small subunit ribosomal RNA", at positions 28 to 829 of the family's 1533-position model. Lineage: Bacteria; Bacillati; Cyanobacteriota. The record is from RNAcentral.
GAUGAACGCUGGCGGUAUGCUUAACACAUGCAAGUCGAACGGGGGACUUCGGUUUCUAGUGGCGGACGGGUGAGUAACGCGUGAGAAUCUGCCUUUAGGACGGGGACAACAGUUGGAAACGGCUGCUAAAACCCGAUGUGCCCUUCGGGGUGAAAUAUUUAUAGCCUGAAGAUGAGCUCGCGUCUGAUUAGCUAGUUGGUAAGGUAAAGGCUUACCAAGGCGACGAUCAGUAACUGGUCUGAGAGGAUGACCAGUCACACUGGGACUGAGACACGGCCCAGACUCCUACGGGAGGCAGCAGUGGGGAAUUUUCCGCAAUGGGCGCAAGCCUGACGGAGCAAUACCGCGUGAGGGAGGAAGGCUCUUGGGUCGUAAACCUCUUUUAUCAGGGAAGAACACAAUGACGGUACCUGAUGAAUCAGCAUCGGCUAACUCCGUGCCAGCAGCCGCGGUAAUACGGAGGAUGCAAGCGUUAUCCGGAAUUAUUGGGCGUAAAGCGUCCGCAGGUGGUUUUGAAAGUUUGCUGUCAAAGCGCGAGGCUCAACUUCGUACCGGCGGUGAAAACUUCAAGACUAGAGUUUGGUAGGGGUCACGGGAAUUCCCAGUGUAGCGGUGAAAUGCGUAGAUAUUGGGAAGAACACCAGCGGCGAAAGCGCGUGACUGGGCCUGAACUGACACUCAUGGACGAAAGCUAGGGGAGCGAAAGGGAUUAGAUACCCCUGUAGUCCUAGCCGUAAACGAUGACAACUAGGUGUUGCCCG